RNAcentral lists this ribosomal RNA (810 nucleotides) under Mycobacterium sp. MG1. Its description in RNAcentral is "bacterial SSU rRNA". It matches the Rfam family "Bacterial small subunit ribosomal RNA", at positions 35 to 861 of the family's 1533-position model. Lineage: Bacteria; Bacillati; Actinomycetota; Actinomycetes; Mycobacteriales; Mycobacteriaceae. The record is from RNAcentral.
GCUGGCGGCGUGCUUACACAUGCAAGUCGAACGGAAAGGCCCUUCGGGGUACUCGAGUGGCGAACGGGUGAGUAACACGUGGGUGAUCUGCCCUGCACUCUGGGAUAAGCCUGGGAAACUGGGUCUAAUACCGGAUAGGACCACACACUUCAUGGUGAGUGGUGCAAAGCUUUUGCGGUGUGGGAUGAGCCCGCGGCCUAUCAGCUUGUUGGUGGGGUAAUGGCCCACCAAGGCGACGACGGGUAGCCGGCCUGAGAGGGUGACCGGCCACACUGGGACUGAGAUACGGCCCAGACUCCUACGGGAGGCAGCAGUGGGGAAUAUUGCACAAUGGGCGCAAGCCUGAUGCAGCGACGCCGCGUGAGGGAUGACGGCCUUCGGGUUGUAAACCUCUUUCAGUAGGGACGAAGCGAAAGUGACGGUACCUACAGAAGAAGGACCGGCCAACUACGUGCCAGCAGCCGCGGUAAUACGUAGGGUCCGAGCGUUGUCCGGAAUUACUGGGCGUAAAGAGCUCGUAGGUGGUUUGUCGCGUUGUUCGUGAAAACUCACAGCUUAACUGUGGGCGUGCGGGCGAUACGGGCAGACUAGAGUACUGCAGGGGAGACUGGAAUUCCUGGUGUAGCGGUGGAAUGCGCAGAUAUCAGGAGGAACACCGGUGGCGAAGGCGGGUCUCUGGGCAGUAACUGACGCUGAGGAGCGAAAGCGUGGGUAGCGAACAGGAUUAGAUACCCUGGUAGUCCACGCCGUAAACGGUGGGUACUAGGUGUGGGUUUCCUUCCUUGGGAUCCGUGCCGUAGCUAACGCAUU